RNAcentral lists this transfer RNA (66 nucleotides) under Atrina pectinata. Its description in RNAcentral is "tRNA-Gly". Lineage: Eukaryota; Metazoa; Mollusca; Bivalvia; Pterioida; Pinnidae. The record is from RNAcentral.
GCAUUCUUAGUAUAUUUAUGUAUAGCCGUUUUCCAUGCGGGUGGUCCGAAUAAUUCGGAGGGUGUU